This 387-nucleotide ribosomal RNA is filed under the name uncultured bacterium. Its description in RNAcentral is "bacterial SSU rRNA". It matches the Rfam family "Bacterial small subunit ribosomal RNA", at positions 28 to 417 of the family's 1533-position model. The record is from RNAcentral.
GACGAACGCUGGCGGCGUGCUUAACACAUGCAAGUCGAGCGGUAAGGCCCUUUCGGGGGUACACGAGCGGCGAACGGGUGAGUAACACGUGGGUGACCUGCCCUCAGCUCUGGGAUAAGCCUGGGAAACCGGGUCUAAUACUGGAUAUGACUCCAUGACGCAUGUUGUGGGGUGGAAAGCCUUGUGCGGCUGAGGAUGGGCCCGCGGCCUAUCAGCUUGCUGGGGGGUGAUGGCCUACCAAGGCGACGACGGGUAGCCGGCCUGAGAGGGCGACCGGCCACACUGGGACUGAGACACGGCCCAGACUCCUACGGGAGGCAGCAGUGGGGAAUCUUGCGCAAUGGGCGAAAGCCUGACGCAGCGACGCCGCGUGAGGGAUGACGGCCU